Molecule: ribosomal RNA, 500 nt
Filed under: uncultured bacterium
Lineage: Bacteria
Description: partial 16S ribosomal RNA
Rfam family: Bacterial small subunit ribosomal RNA
Source: RNAcentral
GACGAACGCUGGCGGCGUGCUUAACACAUGCAAGUCGAACGGGUCUGCCCUGUUUUUUGCGGGGUGGGUCAGUGGCGAACGGGUGAGUAACACGUGAGUAACCUGCCCCUCACUUCUGGAUAACCGCUUGAAAGGGUGGCUAAUACGGGGUGUUCUGGCUGUGCCGCAUGGUGUGGCUGGGAAAGAUUCACUUUUGUGGUGUUUUGGUGGGGGAUGGGCUCGCGGCCUAUCAGCUUGUUGGUGGGGUGAUGGCCUGCCAAGGCUUUGACGGGUAGCCGGCCUGGGAGGGUGGGCGGUCACACUGGGACUGAGGUACGGCCCAGACUCCUGCGGGGGGCAGCAGUGGGGGGUAUUGCACAAUGGGCGGAAGCCUGAUGCAGCGACGUCGCGUGAGGGAUGGAGGCCUUCGGGUUGUGAACCUCUUUCGCCGGUGAAGAAGGUCCUGCUCUUUGUGGUGGGGUUGACGGUAGCCGGGUUAUGAAGCGCCGGCUAACUACGUG